Pelobates cultripes (western spadefoot toad) is the source of this 562-nucleotide non-coding RNA. The record is from the annotation of a GenBank genome assembly. Lineage: Eukaryota; Metazoa; Chordata; Amphibia; Anura; Pelobatidae.
GUGAAAAAUGGAAACUAAAACAAAUAGUAAGGAUGGAUGAGGGAAAUAACUCUUUAUACGUUAGGCAGGGUGCAUUGGUGUUUCACUAAGCAAUCCAAAAAAAAGUGGAAGGUUAGUGAUAGUUAUUAUCAUGAAUGGAUGGCACUCAAAACGUGAAAUCGAGAGAAGGCAUAGACUUCAGCCUCCCAGCAACCUGAUUAUACGUUGCUUUUUGGGGUAACAAAAUUGGGGAAGAGUUAUCCCUAUUUGCAAAGACAAAAUAAAUGUCCUAAUUUUGCAGCCAGCAAUGAAACCAAUUUUUUUUUUUUGUUAGUUUUAACUGAGACUGUAACCCCUCUUAUUUGAUGGACUCCAAAUAUUUUAGUUUUUAGAAAUCUGUACAUUUUGUUGUUUAAAAUAAAUAAGGUACACACACAAGAAAAGAAAAAGGAUUUUUUUUUUUAAUAUGGCACUGAAAUGACUGAUGUACAUUAUACCAGAGUAAUGUUCUAUGCGUUUCUUUUUAUUUUUUAUUUUAUCUUCUGUAUCUUAUUUAGAAUUCUGCCUUGAGUAUAGUCCAUGG